Non-coding RNA from Trichosporon asahii var. asahii CBS 2479, 98 nucleotides. The record is from the annotation of a RefSeq genome assembly. Lineage: Eukaryota; Fungi; Basidiomycota; Tremellomycetes; Trichosporonales; Trichosporonaceae.
UCUUCGCUAGUAUAUCGGUUAGUAUAAUCGCCUCUCAAACGAGAGUUCCUGGCUUCCAGUGAUCGCGAUAGAGCAGGGUUCGACUCCCUGGCGGAGAA